Molecule: ribosomal RNA, 253 nt
Filed under: uncultured bacterium
Lineage: Bacteria
Description: partial 16S ribosomal RNA
Rfam family: Bacterial small subunit ribosomal RNA
Source: RNAcentral
UACGGAGGGGGCAAGCGUUGUUCGGAAUUACUGGGCGUAAAGGGCUCGUAGGCGGCCAACUAAGUCAGACGUGAAAUCCCUCGGCUUAACCGGGGAACUGCAUCUGAUACUGGAUGGCUUGAGUUCGGGAGAGGGAUGCGGAAUUCCUGGUGUAGCGGUGAAAUGCGCAGAUAUCAGGAAGAACACCAAUGGCGAAGGCAGCUCUCUGGGACGGUACUGACGCUGAGACGCGAAAGCGUGGGGAGCAAACAGG